This is a long non-coding RNA of Pan troglodytes (chimpanzee), 314 nucleotides long. Lineage: Eukaryota; Metazoa; Chordata; Mammalia; Primates; Hominidae. The record is from Ensembl.
AUGUAUGGGAGCUGGGUAUUAUCACCUGUCUACCCAACAGGCCUCCGCUUCCCCCAGAACAGAAAUGGGUUUGCAGGGCUGGAGAUCCUAAUGAACAGAAACCUUGUAUACACAGCCGAAGCCCUGGGAAUUCCUUGCUGCAGCAUGCUUGGAGGCCACUGGUGCCGCUCAUGUGGCAGUGGUGAUAGAACGCCACACAAUAAGAAUCCUCCCCAUUGGAUCAGAUGUGGUUCAGUCCUCACUGGUAAACACCUACAUACAGCCCUCAGGUUCUUGCUCUAAAAUUCAUCAUCAACUCUUGAAUGAAGCACCAA